Molecule: ribosomal RNA, 468 nt
Filed under: Escherichia coli
Lineage: Bacteria; Pseudomonadati; Pseudomonadota; Gammaproteobacteria; Enterobacterales; Enterobacteriaceae
Description: partial 23S ribosomal RNA
Rfam family: Bacterial large subunit ribosomal RNA
Source: RNAcentral
GAAUGCUGACAUAAGUAACGAUAAAGCGGGUGAAAAGCCCGCUCGCCGGAAGACCAAGGGUUCCUGUCCAACGUUAAUCGGGGCAGGGUGAGUCGACCCCUAAGGCGAGGCCGAAAGGCGUAGUCGAUGGGAAACAGGUUAAUAUUCCUGUACUUGGUGUUACUGCGAAGGGGGGACGGAGAAGGCUAUGUUGGCCGGGCGACGGUUGUCCCGGUUUAAGCGUGUAGGCUGGUUUUCCAGGCAAAUCCGGAAAAUCAAGGCUGAGGCGUGAUGACGAGGCACUACGGUGCUGAAGCAACAAAUGCCCUGCUUCCAGGAAAAGCCUCUAAGCAUCAGGUAACAUCAAAUCGUACCCCAAACCGACACAGGUGGUCAGGUAGAGAAUACCAAGGCGCUUGAGAGAACUCGGGUGAAGGAACUAGGCAAAAUGGUGCCGUAACUUCGGGAGAAGGCACGCUGAUAUGUAGG